UGGGGAAUAUUGCACAAUGGGCGCAAGCCUGAUGCAGCCAUGCCGCGUGUAUGAAGAAGGCCUUCGGGUUGUAAAGUACUUUCAGUCGGGAGGAAGGUGGUAAGGUUAAUAACCUUGGCAAUUGACGUUACCGACAGAAGAAGCACCGGCUAACUCCGUGCCAGCAGCCGCGGUAAUACGGAGGGUGCAAGCGUUAAUCGGAAUUACUGGGCGUAAAGCGCACGCAGGCGGUUGAUUGAGUCAGAUGUGAAAUCCCCGGGCUUAACCCGGGAAUUGCAUCUGAUACUGGUCAGCUAGAGUCUUGUAGAGGGGGGUAGAAUUCCAUGUGUAGCGGUGAAAUGCGUAGAGAUGUGGAGGGAUACCGGUGGCGAAGGCGGCCCCCUGGACGAAGACUGACGCUCAGGUGCGAAAGCGUGGGGAGCAAACAGG
Molecule: ribosomal RNA, 429 nt
Filed under: Chloroflexota bacterium
Lineage: Bacteria; Bacillati; Chloroflexota
Description: Chloroflexi bacterium partial 16S ribosomal RNA
Rfam family: Bacterial small subunit ribosomal RNA
Source: RNAcentral